Non-coding RNA from Procambarus clarkii (red swamp crayfish), 532 nucleotides. The record is from RefSeq and is a predicted model, not a curated record. NCBI's taxonomy places the organism in Eukaryota, Metazoa, Arthropoda, Malacostraca, Decapoda, Cambaridae.
AAUAACAGAUCCUCUGCCAAUAACAUUGAGCAUACUAUCGAGGCAUAUGGAGAGAAUAUAAGGCAUCGCAAAAAUCAGAUUACCACUUAUGCAGUUUCAUCUAAAAUGAGAGCUGUAUUGAGAAACAAAAAUGAAGUUGAGAAAAAAAACUACGAGAUCUCAUAAAAAUCUACAAUCAGAACCAUCCGGAUUUGUCUGAAGCAGAUGUUUUAACUGGCAUCCUUCCAUGGCACAAUUUAUUGCUUCAUCAAAACACAAGUGUGUCCCUGACUGAAAAAAGAAGUGCAGUGGAAAAGUUUGAGCUCCAGAAGAGAUGUAGAGAGGAGGAAUCACUAACCAUUCAAGACAUGAUAACAUGGUUACAGUACUACAAAAAGAAAAGGGACAAACUAUCCGAGUAUAUUCAAGAAUUACAAUGUGAUUCUUUCCCUUCAUGUCUCUGCAAGGAUUCUAACACGUACACCAUUGAAAACCCAAUUCUGUCAGAAGAAGAGAAACGUGGAUUAUUGGCUCCUCUCAAUCAGGGUCAAAA